CCUACGGGGGGCUGCAGUGGGGAAUAUUGCACAAUGGGCGGAAGCCUGAUGCAGCAACGCCGCGUGCGGGAUGAAGGCCUUCGGGUUGUAAACCGCUUUCAGUAGGGACGAAUGUGACGGUACCUACAGAAGAAGCACCGGCUAACUACGUGCCAGCAGCCGCGGUGAUACGUAGGGUGCGAGCGUUGUCCGGAUUUAUUGGGCGUAAAGAGCUCGUAGGCGGUUUGUUGCGUCGGAAGUGAAAACACGGGGCUUAACUUCGUGCUUGCUUUCGAUACGGGCAGACUUGAGGAAGGUAGGGGAGAACGGAAUUCCUGGUGGAGCGGUGGAAUGCGCAGAUAUCAGGAGGAACACCGGUGGCGAAGGCGGUUCUCUGGACCUUUCCUGACGCUGAGGAGCGAAAGCGUGGGGAGCAAACAGGCUUAGAUACCCCGGUAGUC
Molecule: ribosomal RNA, 440 nt
Filed under: uncultured Propioniciclava sp.
Lineage: Bacteria; Bacillati; Actinomycetota; Actinomycetes; Propionibacteriales; Propionibacteriaceae
Description: bacterial SSU rRNA
Rfam family: Bacterial small subunit ribosomal RNA
Source: RNAcentral